Molecule: ribosomal RNA, 253 nt
Filed under: uncultured bacterium
Lineage: Bacteria
Description: partial 16S ribosomal RNA
Rfam family: Bacterial small subunit ribosomal RNA
Source: RNAcentral
UACGAAGGGGGCUAGCGUUGCUCGGAUUUACUGGGCGUAAAGGGCGCGUAGGCGGACAGUUAAGUCGGGGGUGAAAGCCCGGGGCUCAACCUCGGAAUUGCCUUCGAUACUGGCUGUCUUGAGUACGGGAGAGGUGUGUGGAACUCCGAGUGUAGAGGUGAAAUUCGUAGAUAUUCGGAAGAACACCAGUGGCGAAGGCGACACACUGGCCCAUUACUGACGCUGAGGCUCGAAAGCGUGGGGAGCAAACAGG